UGCGGCUGCUAGCCAGUCUGC
Molecule: unclassified non-coding RNA, 21 nt
Filed under: Chlamydomonas reinhardtii
Lineage: Eukaryota; Viridiplantae; Chlorophyta; Chlorophyceae; Chlamydomonadales; Chlamydomonadaceae
Description: small RNA Cre_3123
Source: RNAcentral